GUAUCCUACGGGAGGCAGCAGUGAGGAAUAUUGGUCAAUGGGCGGGAGCCUGAACCAGCCAAGUCGCGUGAGGGAAGACGGUCCUAUGGAUUGUAAACCUCUUUAGGCGGGGAGCAAUGCCGGGCACGCGUGCCCGGAGGGAGAGUACCCGCAGAAUAAGCAUCGGCUAACUCCGUGCCAGCAGCCGCGGUAAUACGUAGGGGGCGAGCGUUAUCCGGAUUUAUUGGGCGUGAAGCGUCCGCAGCCGGUUUAUUAAGUAU
This 260-nucleotide ribosomal RNA is filed under the name uncultured bacterium. RNAcentral's name for it is "partial 16S ribosomal RNA". It matches the Rfam family "Bacterial small subunit ribosomal RNA", at positions 334 to 590 of the family's 1533-position model. The record is from RNAcentral.